GACGAACGCUGGCGGCGUGCUUAACACAUGCAAGUCGAACGGAAAGGCCCCGUUUGGGGUACUCGCGUGGCGAACGGGUGAGUAACACGUGCGUAAGCUGCCCUUGACUGCGUGAUAACUUCAUGAAACUGGGGCUAAUACCUGAUAGGAAUGCUUUCUUCCUGGUGGGGGUUGGAAAGCUUGGGGGGUUUUGGCUGGACGUGCGGCCUUUCUGCUUGUUGGUGGGGUAGUGGCUUACCAAGGCUUUGACGGGUAGCCGGCCUGGGAGGGCGACCGGCCACAAUGGGACUGGGAUACGGCCCCGGCUCCUACGGGGGGGAGGAGGGGGGAAUAUUGAAACAUGGGCGGGAGCCUGAUGCAGCAACGCCGCGGGCGGGAUGACGGGCUUCGGGUUGGAAAACGGUUUCAGCAGGGGCGGAGCUUGUGGUGACGGUACCUGCAGAAGAAGCACCGGCUAACUACGUG
This 465-nucleotide ribosomal RNA is filed under the name uncultured bacterium. Its description in RNAcentral is "partial 16S ribosomal RNA". It matches the Rfam family "Bacterial small subunit ribosomal RNA", at positions 28 to 507 of the family's 1533-position model. The record is from RNAcentral.